Molecule: ribosomal RNA, 250 nt
Filed under: uncultured bacterium
Lineage: Bacteria
Description: partial 16S ribosomal RNA
Rfam family: Bacterial small subunit ribosomal RNA
Source: RNAcentral
UGAGGAAUAUUGGGCAAUGGACGAAAGUCUGACCCAGCAACGCCGCGUGGAGGAUGAAUGCCGUAAGGUUGUAAACUCCUUUUGAAGGGGACGAAAAAUUCCGCUAACAUCGGAACUUGACUGUACCCUUAGAAGAAGCCCCGGCUAACUACGUGCCAGCAGCCGCGGUAAUACGUAGGGGGCAAGCGUUGUCCGGAUUUACUGGGUGUAAAGGGCGCGUAGGCGGACUUGUAAGUCAAGGGUGAAAUCU